Vespa velutina is the source of this 3801-nucleotide long non-coding RNA. RefSeq lists it as uncharacterized. The transcript has 2 exons. NCBI's taxonomy places the organism in Eukaryota, Metazoa, Arthropoda, Insecta, Hymenoptera, Vespidae. The record is from RefSeq and is a predicted model, not a curated record.
UCUCUCUCUCUCAUUCUUGUUUCGAAUAAUCAUGAUCUCGAACCACUACAUUGACUCCGCCCUUCUCUUUUCUGCUCUAUCCCUUCUUUAGUCAUCCACACGUUUCAGGGAGUUAACUUCGACAAAGACGACGACGAAUACGACAACGAAAAGGAAUAAAUAGAAAUCCCGUCAGAAGAAAGUCGGCUUGAAAAUCAAACAAACAGUCGGCGACGUCGCGUUAGUGGAGUUCCUUCGUCGUCAUCGUCGUCGUUGUCGUCGUCGUCGUCGUCGUCGUCGUCGUCGUCGUCGUCGUCGUCGUCGUCCUCGUCGUCUUCGUCGUUUGUUUAUUGUUAUAAAAAACAUAGAGUCGACCAAGCGUAUCACCACAAAGUGUAACUUUUACAGUAGAGGUCAAAGCGAUCCAUUAACUCGACGAAAGGAUACGAAAUUAGCGAAGUUCGAGUUCCGGUAUCGUAGCUAACGUUAGUGUCACAUGGCGAAGGGCUAAAACUUUUUCUUGAAUGGAUAAAAUCCGACGGAGACAUGUGUUCGCCAGACGACAAAAUUCUCUCUCCCUCUCUCUCUCUCUCUCUCCCCCCCCCCUGUCUCUCUCCUCAAGGUGCAUGGGAAAGAAGUACAUCUCAUUGGAUUUACUUAGUACGAACAAUCGUCGAAGGGGAGGAUUAUGAAUCUUCUUCUUUUGCUUCUUCUUUUUUUUUUAACAUUUUGUAUCAACACUACGUAAUCUUCUUCAAUCUUUUGUUUAAUGAAUGAUUUCGAAUAAAUUUAUCAUCGUUAACUUGUUAACAUAUUUAAUUUAAAUAUUUUACCGAUCCGAUCAAUUAGAAUCAAUUUUUUUUUGUCUUUAAUUAUAACAAUCAUUUGUCAAUAAGAUGAAAUAAUUACACUUGAUAAAUAUCAGCAUAAGUAAGUAUAAAUAGUCGAAGAUCAAAUCAUCAUGUGGCAUUAGAAAUUAAUCCAAUAAUAUUAUCCUCGUGAAAUAUAUCGAAAUAAUGAUUGAAUCAGUUCAAUGAACUUCUUCAAACAUCAUGAUUAUUCACGAAUCUACUUCCGACCUAAUUCAAUUCCUACAAUUGAAUAAUUUCUUUUUUCACUCGAUUUUAAAUCGUACUCACUUCUUUUCGAAACGUAAGUAGAUAAGUAACUACCUGCCCGUUGAUAUUGUUAAGAGUCGAUUGGAGGCCCUUAUCUUUUAGGUAAAGAAAAAGAAAAAAAAAAAAAAAAGAAAAAGAACAAAGAGGCAAGUGUUGUGUGCAAUACGGAAUAUCACCAAAUCUUCGAAAGCAAACAUCAAAGAUACCGACAUAACAGUGCACCGACUUCCAGACCGUGACAAUACUACGAAAAGAAAGAACAAAAUACAAGGGAUGUAGAAAUUUACCUCCCCUCCUCCUUACUUUUGCCUUCAACCAUUCACACAUUCUCACACACUCUCUCUCUUUCUCUCUCUCCCUCUCUCUCUCUCUCUCUCUCUCUUUCUUUCUUUGUCUCGUUCGCUUUACGCAAUGUUUAUUCUAAAUACACCGGAAGUUCAACCUUAAGAAUAAGGUAGAUUAACGAUUAGUGUCGGUGUACAUAGCCUCUACGUUAACAUAUGUGUGCACAUUCCACUGGGAUAUAUUUUCUAAACACACGUGCUUGCCAUCAGGAUAAGUUCGCAUUGGCCAUUUCUAGUACACACAUAAAAAUGCAACCACGCAUAUAUUUAUACAUAUACAGUUAUAGGUAAUAUACCUCUACAUCUUCUUUCUCUGUCCCGCUUGCAAAAGUUGCUCUUCCAAGAAGAAAUAUCGAUUGUUCUUCUCUUAUUUCAACGGGUGACCAUUUUUCUUUUUUUUCUUUUCUUUUUUCUUUCUUCAAAAUUAGAAACUUUCCAGAGAACAAAUAGAAUGCGAAUUUCUAAUUAUUGCCUUAAUUUAUUAGAAAGAGUAGAAAGAAUUAUGAAUGAAAUAAUCCAUUAUGAAGAAUAUCGCGUAGUAAGUACUUACGUACUUACAUAGAACAUAUAUUAUCUACUUAAGAAAUAUAAAUACUCAUCUAUCUGUAUCUCUAUACUUUACGGAGCCAGGGAAAAAGGAAAAAGAACAAUGAUUCUAGAUCAGGACUGUAAGAAAAAUAAAACCUUAAAAAAACGCGCAUCAAGAAGCGACCCCCGCUGAGGAGACCAAGAGGCCCCUCGGGACCACAUCCCCUCUCAACCCCAUGAGGAGACCCUGUUUCUUUUCUUUUCUUUCUUUCUUUCUUUCUCUCCUCUUUUUUCUUUUAUUUUUUUUUUUUGCUUUUCACAUAUCUUCGCUCACACACAACCAUUGCCAUCGGGGAUCACAAAACCAUACCAGGGACUCACAUUGACGUAGGUCUUAUACCCCCUCGAAGACGUAAAUUCGAUAGAAUUCGUGCGAGUUCAAACCCUUAGAUGGCUUUUUUUUUUUUUUUAUACUUAUGUUUGAAUACUAAUAUUUAAAAAACCUAGAAAUGUAUUGUUCAUGAAAUAAUACCGCUACGCAAUUUAUUCCAGAUACGUCAUCUUAUUUUGUUUUAAAUUUAAAAAGUUAAUUAUUUUCAAUCGAUUAUGUUUUUUUUUUCGAAAUUUUUUGAAAGAAACGAUAAAAAUUCUUCUUGUUUAGAUUCUAAGAAAAAGGGAAAAUGCAAUAGGACACGCGACAUUUUCAGUAGAAUUGUUGUUUGAAGAGAGGCUGCUCCAUUUUCUUUUGCUAUUUCCUCCAUCUUUCCACUUAUUUUUCUUUCUUUUCUUAUUUUUCCCCAGAAAUCCUGCAGAUUCUCCGUCAACUAUGUGACCUUUCUCGACGAAAGAUUAAUCAUUAGUUUUUCAGCAGCCUCCCGUAGGCACGAGACCAUAAUGCAAUUCGUAGAAAUUUGGAUACUUGUUGAAAAAAGAAAUUUCUACAAAAAAAAAAAAACAAAAAAAAAAUAAAAAAAAAAAAUACGAAUCUUUUUCUCUUAUUUAUAAUACUAUAAAGAAAUAUUUCAACUUCAUUAAUAUAAUCUUCACGAUCAUUGAAUAUUUAUCGUGAAAGAAACGAAAACAAUGAGAAAGAAAGAAACGUCACAAGGAUGACAAGAGGAGAGACGCCAUGGCGAAUAAUGUCGCCAUUUUACUUCUAUUCUCCACCUUGAUCGACGCUCCAAUCAGACGGUUUGUUCCCGUAAACAUCGCCGAUUGGUUACUACGAUACAGGUAGAAAAUAGGCAACGCCCAAUUUUCGCCAAUUCUGACUUCUGAUUGGUCGUUCGAAUCUUUUGGACAAGAUGGACAUUUCAGAGGAAAAAACAUUUUUGCAACUUCUGACAUCUGAUUGGUCGUUCGAAUCUUUUGCAAUAUGGACAUUUAAAAAAAAAAAGAAAAAAAAUAAGAAAAGAAAUGCAAAAAAAAAGAAUACAAAAGAGAGAGAGAGAGAAAGAGAGAGAGAAAGAGAAAGGAUAAAAAUCAGUGAUACUUAAAAUACCCCCGCGAUAAUCGAUUGUAAGGAAACGAAACGAAAAAUAAAUUAAUAUAAAAAUGAAAAAAAAAGCAAAAAAAAAUGUACAAAGUAGAGACAACCGAUAGUUUUACUUGCAUUUGCAUGCAUAACUCAAAGACCCUCGUUGUAACCUUUUGACAGGCGUGACCGGCUGCAGCAUUUCGUUAACAUUUAAACAGCUGUUCCGCGCUAUCUUGUUAGCUUAAGUGGACUUCAAAUAAUUAAAAAACGACGAAACAUAUAUACUUACCUACGUGUGUGAGCCGAAUCAAAUUUCCAAAAAAAAAAAAAAAAAAAGAAAAAAAAAAACACGAGG